CUUUAGCAUAAGUUGCAGUGGCUUUCAUCCAUUGUUGGUCCUUGAAAGCAACAAUGUUGAAUGAAUGAAAUAAAAUCAAGCAGAGAAAUGUGGAAAGAAGAGCAACCAUCUGAGGGGGCAGUAGGGCUAAGAUAGCAGAGGACUAAACCUAGUGAAAAGGGGUUCUUUUUCUAACUGUUUAUGAGGACGAUGUCCUUGCUAAAAAAGAUCCAGGCAAGAAAGAAAUGGAGACACUCCAAAAGAGGUGCAAUUUGAUUUUGGAUGCAUUAGUGAGAGAAGGGUUAGAGGCUUUGUGUUUGUGGCAGCCACACAAAACACUUGAGUGUGGAAACAUUCACUGCCAAGGCCAAAGAGGUGCUGCUUUAUUAAUCAUUUUGUUCCUCCCUCUAUGUUCAAACAAAAGUUAAUCAAAUCAAAGUUGGGUGGGUUCCUU
Molecule: non-coding RNA, 433 nt
Organism: Cicer arietinum (chickpea)
Lineage: Eukaryota; Viridiplantae; Streptophyta; Magnoliopsida; Fabales; Fabaceae
Source: RefSeq, a predicted model, not a curated record